This 253-nucleotide ribosomal RNA is filed under the name uncultured prokaryote. RNAcentral's name for it is "partial 16S ribosomal RNA". It matches the Rfam family "Bacterial small subunit ribosomal RNA", at positions 547 to 777 of the family's 1533-position model. The record is from RNAcentral.
CCUUCUUUUUCCCUCUUUUUCCGGAUUUAUUGGGUUUAAAGGGUGCGUAGGCGGACUUAUAAGUCAGAGGUGAAAGCCGGUAGCUUAACUAUCGAAUUGCCUUUGAAACUGCAAGUCUUGAAUUUUGUUGAGGUAGGCGGAAUGUAUCAUGUAGCGGUGAAAUGCAUAGAUAUGAUACAGAACACCGAUUGCGAAGGCAGCUUACUAAGCAAAUAUUGACGCUGAGGCACGAAAGCGUGGGGAUCAAACAGGA